ACCCAGAUGACGAGUCGCGAACGGGACGAAAUGCGAGUCAUGGAU
This 45-nucleotide non-coding RNA is filed under the name Schistosoma mansoni. Lineage: Eukaryota; Metazoa; Platyhelminthes; Trematoda; Strigeidida; Schistosomatidae. The record is from RNAcentral.